UCCCUCUUAGCUCAGUUGGUAGAGCGCGUCACUAGUACUGCCUCCGAGAGUGCACACUAUAUAUGACGAGGUCAGUCGUUCAAGUCGGCUAGAGGGAA
Molecule: non-coding RNA, 98 nt
Organism: Psilocybe cubensis
Lineage: Eukaryota; Fungi; Basidiomycota; Agaricomycetes; Agaricales; Agrocybaceae
Source: the annotation of a RefSeq genome assembly